UACAGAGGGGGCAAGCGUUGUCCGGAAUUACUGGGCGUAAAGGGCGCGUAGGCGGCCUUUUAAGUCGAACGUGAAAUCCCCGGGCUCAACCCGGGAACUGCGUCCGAUACUGGAAGGCUUGAAUUCGGGAGAGGGAGGCGGAAUUCCAGGUGUAGCGGUGAAAUGCGUAGAUAUCUGGAGGAACACCGGUGGCGAAGGCGGCAUCCUGGACCGGCAUUGACGCUGAGGCGCGAAGGCCAGGGGAGCAAACGGG
Molecule: ribosomal RNA, 253 nt
Filed under: uncultured bacterium
Lineage: Bacteria
Description: partial 16S ribosomal RNA
Rfam family: Bacterial small subunit ribosomal RNA
Source: RNAcentral